This 2342-nucleotide ribosomal RNA is filed under the name human gut metagenome. Its description in RNAcentral is "bacterial LSU rRNA". It matches the Rfam family "Bacterial large subunit ribosomal RNA", at positions 555 to 2925 of the family's 2925-position model. The record is from RNAcentral.
ACCGUGCGCCUACAAUCCGUCGGAGCCCUUUUGUGGGGUGACGGCGUGCCUAUCGAAAAAUGAGUCUGCGAGUCAGUGGCGGGUGGCGAGCAUAAGCCGUGUGGCGUAUGCGUAGCGAAAGCGAGUCUUAAAAGGCGUUUGUAGUCGCUUGUCCUGGACCCGAAGCGGGAUGAUCUAGCCCUGGGCAGGUUGAAGCGCGGGUAAGACCGCGUGGAGGACCGAACCCACCUGGGUUGAAAACCGGGGGGAUGACCUGGGGCUAGGGGUGAAAGGCCAAUCAAAUUCCGUGAUAGCUGGUUCUCUCCGAAAUGCAUUUAGGUGCAGCGUCGGUCGAUUGCGUCGCGGGGGUAGAGCUACCGGAUGCUUGCGGGCCCUUGUUGGGUACCAACAGCAGCCGAACUCCGAAUACCGUUGACGUGUAUUCCGGCAGUGAGUCGGCGGGGGAUAAGCUCCGUCGUCGAGAGGGAGACAGCCCAGACCGUCGUCUAAGGUCCCGAAGCGUGUGCUAAGUGGGAAAGGAUGUGGAGUCGCAUAGACAGCCAGGAGGUUGGCUCAGAAGCAGCCAUCCUUGAAAGAGUGCGUAACAGCUCACUAGUCGAGUGACCCUGCGCCGAAAAUGUACCGGGGCUAAGCCAGGUACCGAAGCUGCGGAUAUUCCUAGAAUAUGGUAGGGGAGCGUUGCAUGUGGGGUGAAGCCGUAUCGUGAGGAGCGGUGGACAGCAUGGAAGUGAGAAUGCCGGUGUGAGUAGCGAGAUGUAGGUGAGAAUCCUACACACCGAAAGCCCAAGGAUUCCAGGGGAAGGUUCGUCCGCCCUGGGUAAGUCGGGACCUAACGCGAGGCCGAGAGGCGUAGUGGAUGGAAAACAGGCAGAUAUUCCUGUACCCGUAUAUGGAGCGAAGGAGGAACGGAGAAGGCUAGCAUGACCCUCUUAAUGGAUUGAGGGCGAAGCGAGGUAACUGGUGACCAGGCAAAUCCGGUCACUGCAAGGUGAAGACGUAACAGGUAAGUGAAAGAGCGAUCGAGUAGCGAAGCAUGUGAUGCCAGCUUCCAAGAAAAGCUUCUAGCAAUGCAUAUACGGCCCGUACCAAAACCGACACAGGUGGGCAGGGAGAGAAUCCCGAGGUGAGCGAGAGAACUGUUGCCAAGGAACUCGGCAAAAUGGCUCCGUAAGUUAGCAAGAAGGAGCGCUCGAAAGAGCCGCAGUGAAAAGGCCCAAGCGACUGUUUAACUAAAACAUAGCUCUCUGCGAAGCCGCAAGGCGAAGUAUAGGGGGUGACACCUGCCCGGUGCUGGAAGGUUAAGAGGAUCUGUGAAUCGCAAGAGGAAGCAGUGAGUUGAAGCCCCAGUGAACGGCGGCCGUAACUAUAACGGUCCUAAGGUAGCGAAAUUCCUUGUCAGGUAAGUUCUGACCCGCACGAAAGGUGUAACGAUUUGGGCGCUGUCUCGGCAGCAGACUCGGUGAAAUCUUAGUACCUGUGAAAAUGCAGGUUACCCGCAACUAGACGGAAAGACCCCAUGGAGCUUUACUGUAGCUUGAUAUUGAACUUUGGUCGUACCUGUACAGGAUAGGUGGGAGACAUAGAGACGUGCACGCCAGUGUACGAGGAGUCGGCGUUGGGAUACCACUCUUGUGCGAUCGGAGUUCUAACCCAGGUCCAUGAAACUGGAUCGGGGACCGUGUCAGGCAGGCAGUUUGACUGGGGCGGUCGCCUCCCAAAGAGUAACGGAGGCGCCCAAAGGUACGCUCAGAUUGGAUGGAAACCAAUCAUUGAGUGCAAUUGCAGAAGCGUGCUUGACUGUGAGACAAACAAGUCGAACAGGGACGAAAGUCGGGAAUAGUGAUCCGGCGGUGCCGAAUGGAAGGGCCGUCGCUCAACGGAUAAAAGCUACCCUGGGGAUAACAGGCUGAUCUCGCCCAAGAGUUCACAUCGACGGCGAGGUUUGGCACCUCGAUGUCGGCUCAUCGCAUCCUGGAGCUGGAUUCGGUUCCAAGGGUUGGGCUGUCCGCCCAUUAAAGCGGUACGCGAGCUGGGUUCAGAACGUCGUGAGACAGUUCGGUCCCUAUCUGUUGUGGGCGUUGGAGAUUUGAGGAGAGCUGUCCUUAGUACGAGAGGACCGGGAUGGACCUACCACUGGUGCACCAGUUGUUCUGCCAAGAGCAUAGCUGGGUAGCUAAGUAGGGAAAGGAUAAGCGCUGAAAGCAUCUAAGCACGAAACCUACUCCAAGAUGAGAUCUCCCAACAAGUAAGACCCCUUAAAGACGAUAAGGUAGAUAGGCCAGAGAUGGAAGUGUAGAGAUACAUGGAGUUGACUGGUACUAAUCGGUCGAGGACUUAAUCAA